This 172-nucleotide ribosomal RNA is filed under the name uncultured eukaryote. RNAcentral's name for it is "partial small subunit ribosomal RNA". It matches the Rfam family "Eukaryotic small subunit ribosomal RNA", at positions 1662 to 1828 of the family's 1831-position model. The record is from RNAcentral.
GUACACACCGCCCGUCGCUGCUACCGAUUGAAUAAUCCGGUGAACUCGUCGGAUUGUUUUAUUAAUUUUUUUGAAAAAGUAAAUUUUAAAAUAAAAAGUUGAGUAAACCAUGUUAUUUAGAGGAAGCAAAAGUCGUAACAAGGUUUCCGUAGGUGAACCUGCAGAAGGAUCA